UAUAUGUGUGUACGUACGUAUGUACGUACAUACAAAAGAGUUAUGUAAUGUAAAACUUGUUUAUGUUAGUAAUGCAGUAUUGGGAACACAACUUUUUGUUUUAAUUUGGACAACUGACUACUAUAUUUUAAACAAAUCUUUCAGGUUUUCUCUGCAUGGGAAUUGGAGAACUAUGAAACCAUUAACAUAUUCUUAUGAUCUCAACUUUGAAGUUGAUCAUGAUUCUUGUUUUAAUCCCUGAGUUAAUACUCAAAAAUUUACCUACAAGUGAUGUUUCAGAAGAAAAGGUUUACAGAUUGUGUGUUUUUAGGUUGUAUUUAGUUUACUAAAGUGCACAUUAUUAGGUUAUGUUUAGUUGUAGCAGAUGAAAGUUUACUAAAGUGUACAGUGUUAGGCUAUGUUUAGUUGUAGCAGAUGAAAGUUUACUAAAGUGUACAGUGUUAGGCUAUGUUUAGUUGUUGUAGAUGAAAGUUUACUAAAGUUUACAGUGUUAGGCUAUGUUUAGUUGUUGUAGAUGAAAGUUUACUAAAGUUUACAGUGUUAGGCUAUAUUUAGUUGUUGUAGAUGAAAGUUUACAGUGUUAGGCUAUGUUUAGUUGUAGCAGAUGAAAGUUUACUAAAGUGUACAGUGUUAGGUUAUGUUUAGUUGUUGUAGAUAAAAGUUUACUAAAGUGUACAGUGUUAGGCUAUGUUUAGUUGUUGUAGAUAAAAGUUUACUAAAGUGUACAGUGUUAGGCUAUGUUUAGUUGUUGUAGAUGAAAGCUUACUAAAGUGUACAGUGUUAGGCUAUAUUUAGUUGUUGUAGAUGAAAGUUUACUAAAGUUUACAGUGUUAGGCUAUGUUUAGUUGUUGUAGAUGAAAGUUUACUAAAGUGUACAGUGUUAGGCUAUGUUUAGUUGUUGUAGAUGAAAGAUUACUAAAGUGUACAGUGUUAGGCUAUGUUUAGUUGUUGUAGAUGAAAGUUUACUAAUGUGUACAGUGUUAGGCUAUAUUUAGUUGUUGUAGAUGAAAGUUUACUAAAGUGUACAGUGUUAGGCUAUGUUUAGUUGUUGUAGAUGAAAGAUUACUAAAGUGUACAGUGUUAGGCUAUGUUUAGUUGUAGCAGAUGAAAGUUUACUAAAGUUUACAGUGUUAGGCUAUAUUUAGUUGUAGCAGAUGAAAGUUUACAGUGUUAAGCUAUGUUUAGUUGUUGUAGAUGAAAGAUUGCUAAAGUUUACAGUGUUAGGCUAUGUUUAGAUGUUGUAGAUGAAAGUUUACUAAAGUGUACAGUGUUAGGCUAUGUUUAGUUGUUGUAGAUGAAAGUUUACUAAAGUUUACAGUGUUAGGUUCUGUUUAGUUGUUGCAGACAAAAGUUUGUUAGCUUAAAUAUAUUUAGUUGUCACGGGAAAAUUUAUCAAACUGUGUAUAUAUAUAAGUAAAUAAGAUUUAACAUAAAGCAAGAUGCAAAGAAAAGGAUACUUUUUCUAGAUAUUCAUAAUGUGGUAUUAUAUAACUUUUAUCAUUAUUUUUAAUUUUUCACAAUACUACUUUCUAGAAAUCUUAAGUUAUUGUAGUUGGCACAUUUUAAAGCCACUGAUGAUGAGAAGAGAUCAUCAAUCGAGCCUUAAUUUCAACAUUUUUGUAAAGAAAACAUUUAGUUUGUUUUACAUAAAAAUUCUGUAUCAAUUUAUGUCUGAAUAUUGUAUGAUAGCUUAGUUUAGUUACACCACUAGAAUACAAAUUUGUUUUUUGAACAUGUACUGGAUACUUUUGAAACAUUUACAGCUGAUAAUUGGUCUUACUUUGUGUUUAGUAUGAGUAAUUUAAAGAGAUUCCAAACUUUCAUUUUACU
Molecule: long non-coding RNA, 1830 nt
Organism: Limulus polyphemus (Atlantic horseshoe crab)
Lineage: Eukaryota; Metazoa; Arthropoda; Merostomata; Xiphosura; Limulidae
Exons: 3
Source: RefSeq, a predicted model, not a curated record